RNAcentral lists this ribosomal RNA (553 nucleotides) under uncultured bacterium. RNAcentral's name for it is "bacterial SSU rRNA". It matches the Rfam family "Bacterial small subunit ribosomal RNA", at positions 777 to 1345 of the family's 1533-position model. The record is from RNAcentral.
AAUAGAUACCCGGGUAGUCCACGCCGUAAACGAUGGAUGCUAGCUGUUAUGCGUAUCGACCCGUGUAGUAGCGAAGCUAACGCGUUAAGCAUCCCGCCUGGGGAGUACGAACGCAAGUUUAAAACUCAAAGGAAUUGACGGGGACCCGCACAAGCGGUGGAGCGUGUUCUUUAAUUCGAGGCUAAGCGAAGAACCUUACCAGGGCUUGACAUCCUUGGAAUUUCUCCGAAAGGAGAGAGUACUUUAUUGGACCAAGUGACAGGUGCUGCAUGGCCGUCGUCAGCUCGUGUCGUGAGAUGUUUGGUUAAGUCCAUUAACGAGCGCAACCCUUAUGAAUAGUUGUAUUUUUCUAUUCAGACUGCCCCGGUAACGGGGAGAAGGGGGGGAUGAUGUCAGGUCAGUAUUGCCCUUACGCCCUGGGCUAGAAACGCGCUACAAUGGCCGGUACAAUGCGCUGCCAACCCGCGAGGGGGAGCAAAUCGCAUCAAAGCCGGUCCCAGUUCGGAUAAGAGGCUGAAACUCGCCUCUUGAAGCCGGAAUCGCUAGUAAUCGU